UUUCCUUGAAAGCCUAUUCUUCUAUCUGAUACUCUCCUAACAUAGAAGACACCGGCCACAAACUCAGGAAGGGCCCGAUGAUGUCAACCACGAGCUUUCGAAAUCAGAAUACAAGGAACUCCCCGAGCUCUUCACUACGGCAGUCCCAAUACGAAAACUCAACUCGAUCGCGUAAGCUGCAUCUUCAUUAAUAUGGCGCGGAGGUGGAGCCGAGCAGAGGAAGAUCGCAUUGCCUCUCUGGUGGAUCUAUGCGCUGGAACCACUCGGCAGCUUAAGCAAAUUCACUCCCACGUCGUAGCCAUCGGCCAAUCUCAAAACAACUUCGUCGCUGCAAAGCUUGUGAGAACUUUUGCAGAACUGGGUAGCCUAGAACAUGCCCGAGCUAUAGUCGAUGACCUAAUUAGCCCAAAUAUCUUUGUGUGGACUGCUUUAAUUAGAGGCUAUUCUCUUCAUCCAUGUCUUGAUAACUCUGGUAGCCAUCAGGCAAUCUCGCUUUAUGAACGGCUUCGUCAGUUUUACCCUGCGGUAAAACCGCUUUCCUUCACAUUAUCAUCAGUUCUCAAGGCGUGCGCUCAGCUUCGGGCCCUUGGUGAAGGAGGACAAAUUCAUUCUAAUGUUUUCAAGCAUGGUUUUCUGGUAGAUUCCCGUGUUCAAACAACGCUUAUCGAACUGUACGGGAAAUGUGGCCAUUUAAGAGAUGCACGGAAAGUGUUUGAAGAAGUGGUUACAAGAGGGGAACUCGAUAUACAAGCAUGGAAUACGCUUGUUGUCGCGUACGCGGAGGCAGGGGACAUGGAGACUGCACGAAACCUGUUUGAACAAAUGCCUGUUAAGAAUACACAUUCAUACAUUGCAAUGAUCAACGGCUAUGCUGCGGUUAGCAAGAUGAACCUUGCUCGUCAGCUCCUUGAUGAGCUAUUCUCCUCAAAUGAGAAAAAUUCAGUUGUCUUCACUGCCAUGAUCACUGGGUAUGCAAAGUCUGGUGAUCUGUUAGCCGCUCGUCAAAUGUUUGAUGAAAUCAAUAACAAAGAUGUAGCUUCAUGGAAUGCAAUGAUCACAGCUUAUACUCAUGCUGGACUCACUGAAGAAGCAGUGGCCCUGUUCCACCUGAUGCUGGAUAUAAGCAAUGGCCAAAAUGCUCAUCCCAACCCCACUACUAUAGCCACCAUUGCUUCUGCCUUUGCACAAUCCGGGUCUCCCAGCCAAGCAAGCUUUCUCCAAGCCUACGUUGACCACCAUGGCACUGAGUUACUCAACGGUCACACCAUUGCUGCCCUCAUAGACCUUCAUUCAAAGUGCGGAAAUAUCGACAAAGCUUACAAUCUCUUCUGCAGAUGGAAGCAAAAGGACUUGGUUUGCUACAGCGCGAUGAUAGCUGGGUUUGGGAUUCAUGGAUGUGCUGAGAAAGCAAUCAAACUAUUUGAGGAGAUUCAGGAAGCCAAUUCAAAGCCAGAUGCAAUAUGCUUUGUAUCACUUCUUUCAGCUUGUAGCCAUUCAGGCAUGGUAAAGGAGGGAAAGAAGUAUUUUGAACUCAUGAGAAGUAAGUACUGCAUCACUCCAACGGCAGAGCACUAUAUGUGCCUUGUGGACUUGCUUGGGCGGGCUGGGAUGGUCGAAGAAGCUUAUAGAUUGAUUACUGAAGGAAUGCUGGUAGGAGUGAGGCCUAAUGCUGGAGUUUGGGGAGCUUUAUUAAGUGCUUGUAGGAGUUAUUGUAAUGUAGAGAUUGGGGAGAUAGCUGCAAGGUGGUUGAUAGAGAUUGAACCUGAGAAUUCUGGGAACUAUGUGUUGUUAUCAAAUAUUUAUGCGAAGGUAAGACGGUGGGAUGAGGUUGCGUGGGUGAGGGCAGCAAUGCGGAGAAAGGGGAUAAGGAAGGAGCCUGGUUGGAGUUUGGUGGAGAUGGAGGGUGGUAGAAGAAGUAAGUUCAUUACUGGGGAAGCUUAUGACAUGGAAUUGGAGGCGGUGCUGGUGGCCUUGAGCUGGGAGUUGGAGGACUAUGGCUACAUUCCUAACAUGGAUGAAAUUGAAGACUAAGGGCAUAAUUUAUUUGAGGAGAUUGAACUCAGAAGUUUCAAGCACAAGCGAAGAGACCACCCCGACCCAAAAUAGUGUCAUAAACCAGCCUUGGCGCCUUGCACAACAAAUUGCCGGAGCUUGUAUGCUACUUUUCUUACUUGUUCUCGCUUCUCGAUGACGAAAACCCUAACGAAUUCAGAAAUCUCAAUGGUGAAAGAAUCGGCGUGAGAGGGCGUAAGUAGGGACAAAUAAACUAAUUCAACCGGAUUCUUCGAGUAGAAAUCCUGCGAGCAGCAAAGGAUGGAAAGGAAUGCUCAAGACUUUUGAAAGUAGCCCCAAAUGUGUAUCAUGCGCUUAAAAAUGGCAAUGCGGUUGUUGCAUUGGAGUCAACAAUAAUUUCACAUGGCAUGCCAUAUCCACAAAAUCUUGAGACUGCUAAAGAAGUUGAAGCUAUUGUGAAGCAAAAUGGGGCUAUUCCUGCAACAAUAGCAGUACUUGAUGGCGUUCCAUGUAUUGGCUUUGGACACUUUGCUUCAGCUUCGAUGCCUGCAUCAUAGUAUUUAAAUGAUGAUGCCAGAAUAAAGAACUGAUGGCCAAGUUCAUACCCAUGCAAUUAAGAAUCAAGUGGUUUUGUUUCCAUUUGAAUAUUCAAAGUAUCUAUGCUAUGAGAAUAAUCCAAUUGGCUUAGAUUACAUAUUUUUCUAAAUUUCUUCAUUAAAAUUAGUCUUAUACCAUCAAUUUGAGAUCUUUUUUUGAAUAAUUGUCCAUUCAUGUCUGCAAUCAAAUGCCUGUACUUUUUUCCUUGGGUGGAUGUAUGCUUUGCUAAUUCACUAGCUGUAACAGCUAGCAUGUUGUGUAUGCUAUAGCAAAUUUAUAUAUCUUAUUCCAAGUUGUUUGUGAUUGUGCGCGCUCUUGUAUGCGUGAUAAUGUGCUCUCUUUAUUAUCAUUUUGAUUAAUGUUAUGAGAUAACAAGUUGUAGCUAAUUUUUCAUUUGUAUUUC
Molecule: RNA transcript, 3013 nt
Organism: Dendrobium catenatum
Lineage: Eukaryota; Viridiplantae; Streptophyta; Magnoliopsida; Asparagales; Orchidaceae
Gene name: pseudouridine-5'-phosphate glycosidase
Exons: 6
Source: RefSeq, a predicted model, not a curated record